This 616-nucleotide long non-coding RNA is filed under the name Physcomitrium patens. RNAcentral's name for it is "long non-coding RNA (PPAT_LNC008905)". The record is from RNAcentral. Lineage: Eukaryota; Viridiplantae; Streptophyta; Bryopsida; Funariales; Funariaceae.
AAUUCUGUAAUUAACUGCUUUUAAGAACUAAAUCACUCAUCCAUCUUCUUGAAUUUCCUAUUAUAUGGACUAUUAAUAUAUUUUAUCAAUAUCUUUUAAAAACGAAUUAAUAUCUAUUCUACAUAGCCCCACUCUUAUCUGUGCAGCGUCCUCACAAAUACUCAAUUGAUACCUAUCUAAAAAUUAUCUAACAAAACUCUACAAAAAUUACGAUCCUUUUGGCCUAUCUAAUUAAUCAAUUGCCACAGUAUCUGUUAUUGGUUCCACCGAUUCCGGUUCCAAUUGCAAAUCUUCAUCCUCAUCCAAUCUUUCCAUCGGCUCCUGCCUCAAUUGAGCUAAAAGAUCUUCAUUGUACUCACCUAGUUCAUGGACUUAAGCUUCCAGUUUCAAGAUCAGGACAUCUCGAAGUUCCAAUUUUUGCUACUAACUCAUCCAUUCUGGAAUAUCUUCAAUCGACACUUGUGACCGGAUCCUCACUAUUAGCUCUUAACUAGAACUACUACUCUUAAAAACACAAGAAAUACAAGAAAAUGGUACUCCAGCCAACUCAAAACAACACCACAGAAAGACUUUAACUGGUGCCCCGCUCCUAUUCUUUUACUACUUGGUGAUAAUG